This 88-nucleotide transfer RNA is filed under the name Thermofilum pendens. RNAcentral describes it as "tRNA-Arg". It matches the Rfam family "tRNA". Rfam says of the family: Transfer RNA (tRNA) molecules are approximately 80 nucleotides in length. Their secondary structure includes four short double-helical elements and three loops (D, anti-codon, and T loops). Further hydrogen bonds mediate the characteristic L-shaped molecular structure. tRNAs have two regions of fundamental functional importance: the anti-codon, which is responsible for specific mRNA codon recognition, and the 3' end, to which the tRNAs corresponding amino acid is attached (by aminoacyl-tRNA synthetases). tRNAs cope with the degeneracy of the genetic code in two manners: having more than one tRNA (with a specific anti-codon) for a particular amino acid; and 'wobble' base-pairing, i.e. permitting non-standard base-pairing at the 3rd anti-codon position. Lineage: Archaea; Thermoproteati; Thermoproteota; Thermoprotei; Thermofilales; Thermofilaceae. The record is from RNAcentral.
GCGGGGGUGCCCGAGCUAGGUCAAAGGGGGCGGACCCCUCCUCCGCUGGCGCUGGCCUGCCCGGGUUCGAAUCCCGGCCCCCGCACCA